AUGAUGUCAAGUCAGCAUGGCCUUUAUACUCCUGGGCUACACACACGCUACAAUGGCCAACACAAUAGGUUGCUAAGCCGCGAGGUGGCGCCAAUCCAUAAAGUUGGUCUCAGUUCAGAUUGUAGGCUGCAACCCGCCUGCAUGAAGAUGGAGUUGCUAGUAACCGCAGGUCAGCUAUACUGCGGUGAAUACGUUCCCGGGGCUU
This 205-nucleotide ribosomal RNA is filed under the name uncultured Leptolinea sp. RNAcentral's name for it is "partial 16S ribosomal RNA". It matches the Rfam family "Bacterial small subunit ribosomal RNA", at positions 1179 to 1382 of the family's 1533-position model. Lineage: Bacteria; Bacillati; Chloroflexota; Anaerolineae; Anaerolineales; Anaerolineaceae. The record is from RNAcentral.